CAGGCACUUGAGCCCCUAUGCUCCGGCCACUCCCACACUGGGGAGUGUACUUUCAUUUUCAGUAAAUCCCUUCAUUCCUUCCUUGUUUUGCUGGUGCGUUUUGUCCAAUUCUUUGUUCAAGAUGCCAAGAACCUGGACACCCUCCACCGGUGACACAGCCAUGUGGAACUGUCUAACCAUAAAAUCAUCAAUACUGAGAAAUUAAAAGGGGAACAUGUCAGGCCUCACUCUUUCUGUAUUGGAUUUCAAGAGUAUUGUCCUUGGUCACCAGGUAUGCCCCUGGGCUCCUGCCGCAGCUGAUCGGGUGCUAGGUGCUGAGGAUACACGUCUGGGAGAAAGCAAUUGGAAGAAAUGCAAAGCUCUUCAAAGGAGACCUAUAAAGUCAUCUUUGUUUUGUUCAUUCUUCUCAUGUUUCUGCAUUCUGGGCAUUCUCCUAAAUUGGGGAGAAACCAAAAUGCCCAGAAGUCAAAUUCUGCAACUGUCAUCAUGCAAAAUGUCAAAUGAGAGAACCAAAGUAUGCUGGAUUCUAUAUUGUUAGGAAGGGAUGGUUAAUUUGAUUGACUCUUGGGAGCUAUUUUUCUAGCAUUAAGUAAUUCUAGGGAACCCUUCUGUGAUCAUCUCUGAGUAAAUAAAGAAGUGAAAUUGCAAUUCAAAUAAGGAAUCAACUUUAAUGCUCUCAUAGAGAAUAUAAGCCAAAUUACAGUGUGAAUUUAAAUUGUAAUAUGUCAGAGGCACAUUAUCUCAAUGGCAAUAUUUUCUAAAAUGUCUCUUCUUUUUUUUUUUUUUUUUUUUUUGAGACGGAGUUUUGCUCUUGUCCGCCAGGCUGGAGUGCAAUGGCUUGAUCUUGGCUCACUGCAACCUCCACCCAGGU
This 871-nucleotide long non-coding RNA is filed under the name Homo sapiens (human). RNAcentral describes it as "HSALNT0062090". The record is from RNAcentral. Lineage: Eukaryota; Metazoa; Chordata; Mammalia; Primates; Hominidae.